Molecule: ribosomal RNA, 376 nt
Filed under: uncultured bacterium
Lineage: Bacteria
Description: bacterial SSU rRNA
Rfam family: Bacterial small subunit ribosomal RNA
Source: RNAcentral
UACAGAGGAGGCAAGCGUUAUUCGGAAUCAUUGGGCUUAAAGCGCGUGUAGGCGGCUGUGUAAGUGUUCUGUGAAAUCCCGCGGCUCAACCGCGGAACGGCAGGGCAAACUGCACGGCUUGAGGUCGGUAGGGGUGCUCGGAACUCUAGGUGGAGCGGUGAAAUGCGUAGAUAUCUAGAGGAACGCCGGAGGCGAAAGCGGAGCACUGGGCCGAAUCUGACGCUGAUACGCGAAAGCGUGGGGAGCAAACAGGAUUAGAUACCCUGGUAGUCCACGCUGUAAACGAUGCACACUAGGUGACGGAGGCUCUGACGCCCUCGCCGCCGAAGGAAAACUGGUUAGUGUGCCGCCUGGGGAGUACGGCCGCAAGGCUAAA